This 1633-nucleotide long non-coding RNA is filed under the name Amborella trichopoda. RNAcentral describes it as "long non-coding RNA (ATRI_LNC002943)". Lineage: Eukaryota; Viridiplantae; Streptophyta; Magnoliopsida; Amborellales; Amborellaceae. The record is from RNAcentral.
GCAACUUACGUAAUUUUUCGGCUUCAUCCAAAAUCAGGCCCUAAAUAUACUGUUAUCUGAAAUUCUGUUUUUUGAUUCAACCCACAUUGAUCUCAACACUUUUCAACUGGUUGUACAUGAUACAAAGAAUAGAGUAACUAUACAUCAAUUAAAGCAUAUAAAGUUUAAAGGGUAAGUAUUGGACCCACAAUCCUCCUUUCAUCGCAUUUCUUACUGUUUGUAGGGUAGGGUUUGCACCUACUGCCACGUGUCCUCCUCCCACAAGGGACUAUAGGUGUGUUCCAAAGGGUGGUCAACAUAGUGGAAGGGAUAGCACUCUCUUAAACCAGGCUCCCCUCCAUCCUGGUCCAUCCAUCCAAUCUCAUCCAUACACGUGUCCAGACACCAUUGGUCCAUGCCAUAACUCAUCGGAGUCGUGACUUCAUCGACCCAGCCAAAGGGCUCGUACAUCUCCCACAUCGAUGUCGAGCAUUGGUCCUCGGGUUCGCUUCCGAAUCCAGGUGAAAAACAGUUGUUAGGGUCAAUCUCUGCUUCCAAGGAUCUCAUCACAUCGCUCAACUUCUCCUCCUCCUCUGCCCCCUCAGCAGUUUGUCCCUCCUCCAACAAGGCCAUGAUCAUGGCUCCAUCCAAACCAGGCUCAGAGAAUUUCAGGUUCUCCAGGACCAUUGCAUCGAAGUUCUCGUAUGCAAUCAAAUCCAUCUCUCAAAACUAAAAAACACAGAGGAGAAAGAAUAUCCAAAACAGGAAAAGCUCACAGUAUUCAGUAGAAACAAUGAAGCAACAAUGGUUUGAUGAGUGCUUCUCCUGUGAGGACCCUUUUAUAGGCAAUGCACCUGAUAAGGAUAACUUAAACGUUAAGAGCCUACCAUGUGCAACUAAAUCACUCAAAAAGCUCAACAAUGACCCCACAUGGAUUAGAUCUACAAGGUAAGUGGCUCCUCUGACUGGUGCGUGCUUUACAGGUAAGGGAGACCGGGCGGCACCCACAUGAGUGACGACAGACAGGAUUGGGACAAGGAUGAGAACGGGAUCGACAGCGACACCGGUGGCGGCAACAAGAAGCUACAACAACAUUGGUGGCUCAGGGGGCCAUGGCCAUUAUCUUAAGGACAUAAAAUAAUGGCUUGAGGGUGGGACUGACGCCAAAACCACUAGGUUUAGGUUAAACCACUAGGUUUAGGUUUUAAAAUAAGUGUAUUGUCUCCAUAUUCUAACCACCUAAUUUCUUGCAAUUGAUUUUGCACAUGGUGGGUUGUAGAUAUGCAAUCCCUUCCUCAUCGCUAAUGGGUGGUGAAGCUCUCUCCAUGUGAUGCCAACCCAUCCAUCUUUUGAAUGUGACCCUCCACCAUCUUUGCAGUGGUGGGGGAAAUCCCCAGAAGGGCAAGGGGCUGUCUAGUACCCUAAUCCAUCAUCCAACAUUUGCAAGUAAUGGGUAAAAUUGUGCCCUAACUUUACUAGCAUGUCUGAUCACUUCUACAAUGAGUGAAUGCUAGCAACAGCAUACUAAGAUUAGGGAAAGUGUAAUUUGAUGUAUAUGCUCAUGAUGGAAACUUGACCUUGUAACUUCUCACUGUUCAAUCCAAUGGGCAAGUUGGAGAUGGAGGGCCCAAAUGAAUGACAUGUUUGAUGGAAC